Molecule: transfer RNA, 72 nt
Filed under: Camelus ferus (Wild Bactrian camel)
Lineage: Eukaryota; Metazoa; Chordata; Mammalia; Artiodactyla; Camelidae
Rfam family: tRNA
About the family: Transfer RNA (tRNA) molecules are approximately 80 nucleotides in length.
Source: Rfam by way of RNAcentral
GAGCGUAUAGCUCAGUGGUAGAGCAUGUGUUUAGCAUGCAUGAGGUUAUGGGUUCGAUCCCCGAUACUUCUG